GGACUACCAGGGUAUCUAAUCCCGUUUGCUCCCCUAGCUUUCGUGUUUCAGAGUCAGGAAUUUUCCAGGAAGCCGCCUACGCCACCGGUGUUCCUCUUGAUAUCUACGCAUUUCACUGCUACACCAAGAAUUCCGCUUCCCCCUCCAAUCCUCUAGCCAAGUAGUAUCGAAUGCCAUUUCGCCGUUAAGCGGCGAGAUUUCACACCCGACUGACCUAGCCUCCUACACACCCUUUACGCCCAAUGAAUCCGAACAACGCUCGGGACCUCUGUAUUACCGCGGCUGCUGGCAC
Molecule: ribosomal RNA, 292 nt
Filed under: uncultured Verrucomicrobiota bacterium
Lineage: Bacteria; Pseudomonadati; Verrucomicrobiota
Description: uncultured Verrucomicrobia bacterium partial 16S ribosomal RNA
Source: RNAcentral